This is a long non-coding RNA of Nymphaea colorata (pocket water lily), 1605 nucleotides long. RefSeq lists it as uncharacterized. Lineage: Eukaryota; Viridiplantae; Streptophyta; Magnoliopsida; Nymphaeales; Nymphaeaceae. The record is from RefSeq and is a predicted model, not a curated record. The transcript has 2 exons.
CAUUCAUUUAUUUGGGGCGGAAAAGAACAUGAUAGGCGGGGGAGCCAGAAAUUCCAUUCUGAGCCGUUCUGUUUCUCUCCCCGGACAUAGUCGAUUCGUUUCCUCCUGCAACAUUGCUUGCAGCUCUUCAGUGGGCGUCUUCGAGCAGCUCUUCAGUGGGCGUCCUCCAGCAGAUCCUCAGCAGGGAGUCUUCCAGCGGCUCCUGGGCGGCGGCUUGUGGUGGUGAUACUCAAUCUCUCUCUCUCUCUGCUCGCUUUUUCCGCCCCGUCUCUCCCUCGGCCCAUGCCCAUUUUCAGCACGCAUUUUCGGCGGUGGCAGAGCCGCAGAGGGGUUUUAUGGUGUUCUUCUUCUUCAUGAACCGACGCAGCAUCUCCUACAAGGGUUGCAGGAAACUUAAGCUCUCAAACCCCGAUGCUGCAUGUUCUCCCUCUUUUUCACUUUUCUUAAUAAUGGAUUUCUAGCAUGCUGUCUUUUUUCUGAAGCUAUUGAUUUUUUUAUCUCGUGGAUUUCAUUUGUCAUGGACGCGAGGCUGGAUAUCCCUAAUUUCAACAAGGGAAAAUACAGAAACGGAGACCAAUCAAUUGAAUGGGGUGAGCGAUCACACCGGAAGACUGCCUCUGUUAAAAUCUUGGAAGGAGAUCAUAAGAGAUGCAAAGAAAGUGGAGGAGACGAAAGAAGAACUCGAAGGACAUCCCUAUGUGAUCAUUUCUGAGGAAGAUCAGCAUGAGAGCGAAAUUUGCAGGAGGUUGAGUUCUCAAUUGGCCAAACGUGUUACCCAGGAGGUUGAAUUUGCGUCGCAAGCCGAAUCCUCUCUCGCGUCUUCUCACCAUGUGUCUGGGCGAAGAACUGCUGGAAGUUCAAUGGUAGCAAGUUGGAUGUUAAAGUUGCUAACUGGAAUAGUGUUAAGGAGGCCUUACGCUGAUGAUGGGAGGAGAAAAUCAAGGUGAAAUGGACGUGGAAGAUAUGGUGCAUUUCUUUGUUUAUCACAACGUGGCAUUUGUAUUAACUUAGAAGCAAGACUAUGCAGGACACAGUCGCAAAUGUCAAUCGACAUGUUAGUGGGGCAAUAGACAUAUUGAAUGUAGUCAGCAGCACCAACUGGUUUAAUCGACAUAAAGAAGAGAUUUGUUACUGGCUGUAUUUCUCUGAAUCUGAACCGGAGAAAAAGUAUUGCACCAUCUAACGGCCAUAAUUCAUUCAAUGCGUGGGCAGAAGUAGAAUUAAUGGAGGGAAUAUGGAGACUUCAUGUUAACGCGAUUGGCACAGUAUAAGGGGAAUGGCUUCCUUGAUUUAAGGCUUUCUUCUCCUCUGGCUGCAAAUCUUCUCAUGUAGGAAGAAGGGGAGGAAGUGGCAGUCUAUGGUUUCAAGCAGCUGCAUUUUCAUCUCUUAAACUUUGAGACAGUGAGAAACUCAAGAGGAGAAUUGGCUGUUGGGGUAGAUUAAGUGUGAGUAGUUGUUUCUUAGGGUCUCCUGUAUUAAAAUUGUCUCUGUUGAGCAUAUUAGAGGUGGAUGCAGGAAUGUCAGUGUAUUGUAUUCAAAUUGCAUGAAGUUCAUUGGAAUGUUCGCAUACUUUGAAUUUAAUUGGUAGUUGAAAAACUUUAUAUA